This is a non-coding RNA of Naematelia encephala, 92 nucleotides long. The record is from the annotation of a GenBank genome assembly. Lineage: Eukaryota; Fungi; Basidiomycota; Tremellomycetes; Tremellales; Naemateliaceae.
GGUUCCUUGGUGUAGUCGGUUUAUCACGUGGACCUAAUAAUCACUACGGAUUACUCAGUCUAAGGUCGGCGGUUCGAGCCCGCCAGGAAUCA